AAAAUUUUAGUUUAAUUAAAAAUUUAAUAUUUACAAUAUUAAGAUAUUUUAUUAAUAAAUUUUA
Molecule: transfer RNA, 64 nt
Filed under: Microctonus brassicae
Lineage: Eukaryota; Metazoa; Arthropoda; Insecta; Hymenoptera; Braconidae
Source: RNAcentral